Long non-coding RNA from Ipomoea triloba (trilobed morning glory), 553 nucleotides. RefSeq lists it as uncharacterized. Lineage: Eukaryota; Viridiplantae; Streptophyta; Magnoliopsida; Solanales; Convolvulaceae. The transcript has 2 exons. The record is from RefSeq and is a predicted model, not a curated record.
UUUUAUUUAUUUUUUGCCCCAAAUCAUCCCAAAGAAAGUCACAAGAAAUCAACACGAAGAAAACAAAGAGAAGCGGAGGAUGAAGAUCUGGUGAUCUGAUUGGAAAUGAUGAUGAUGACUCUGGCCCGAGCAGCGGUGACCGGCGUGAAGGAGGACGGAUAGAGAAGGCAUUGAUGGUGGUGGGUGGAGAAACCGUGGGAAAACAUAGAUGAACUAGAGACGGAUGAGUAUAAUGGAAUAGAGUUUAAUGUGAUGAAGGCGAGAAUUUGAUAUUAGGUUUAAUGGAUUACAAAGGAUAAAAUAGUCAAUUUGCAAUUAAUUCCAAGUCGCUGAGGACGAAACGCUACACUCACAAGCGUUUCAGAUUUUAGCUGAUUGGCUCAAUCAGCCAAUGGAAAUCAGCCAUUUACCAAACACUCCAAAACAGCUUAUUGAUGAGUCAAAUAGCUAAAUUUGGUUAAAUUAGCUGGUAAACAAACACCCCCUAUAUACAUUGUAGUUUCCUUUCAACACAACUAUAUUUUCAUUUUGAUAUAACUACAGUUUUAUUCAA